Long non-coding RNA from Episyrphus balteatus (marmalade hoverfly), 1051 nucleotides. RefSeq lists it as uncharacterized. NCBI's taxonomy places the organism in Eukaryota, Metazoa, Arthropoda, Insecta, Diptera, Syrphidae. The transcript has 2 exons. The record is from RefSeq and is a predicted model, not a curated record.
UAUACCUAUAAAUAAAAAAAAAGAAAAAAAAAACAAAAAUAAAUAAAAACACAUAAAUAAAACAACUAAAAGUAGUAAACCUUCAUGCAACGACUUCAGUUCCAUGACACUUAAAAUUGUUUACAUUUUCAACAAAACAGCAAACAAUAUAGAAAAAAAAAUUAAAAGUAAAUUCCAAUUCCAUGCUAUAGCAUGAAGGUGGUACACUGAAAAAUAAUUUUUUGUUUUCAUUAGAUCAUAUUUAUUUGUCGCUUUUUUCAAGUUAAAUAGGUUAAUGGUUAAUCAUAAGUUCCAUGGCCGUAAUUUAAAGCCACAAACUCCCAAAAACUGUAAUUCCAAAGAAAUGCCCGAAUCAAUUCCGAAAGUAAUUCUCUAGCGACAAAUCAAAUCUCGAAGAAAAAUUAAAAAUUGAGGUAAAGAUGGAAAAAAAAGUAUGAGAGGAAAAAAAUAGGAAAGGAAUAAAAGGACGAAAAGAAAAAUUAGAAGAAGAAGAAGAAAAAGAGGAUGAAGAAGAAAAAGAUGAAGAAUUAGAAUAACAAGAAAAUGAACCAAUUCUAACAAAAUCCCACAUCAAAGUGCAUAUUUACCAUGAAAAUCGUGUCAUAGAAAUAUCGAAUUUACAAUCUUAGCAAAGCCUUCCCUUCUUCUUCGGCCCAUUGGAGCGUAACCAUAUGAAGUACGAAAGUACAAAAAGUACCUUGAGAGUGUAUAGAAAUGCAUAUUGCAUAUAUGUAAAACAUUAUUCUACACAAUAAUGUGAGGUAAAAUGGGAAGCCAGAGGGGAGAAAACUAGAAGAACAAUUAUUGCAUACAAAACCAAUCUAUCGAUAUAUUGAUUGUUAUCGCUGCUUCUCUCAAACAAAACACAAUGUGUUGACUAGAAGAGGUAGUUUAUUGUUUGAUGAAGCAAUUCAUCGUUUUUAAAAAAACAAAAGAGAUAUUCAUCUCUUCUUUUACCACAAACGACACAAACUAUAACAAUGGGAAAUAUGUAUGCAUAAAAAAACAACUUCUUUUUUUGAAUUGAUUUAGGUUAAAGAUACUUUUUUUU